GCCGAAGUAGCUCAGUUGGUAGAGCGACACAUUCGUAACGUGUAGGCCGCCGGUUCAAUCCCGGCCUUCGGCUCCA
This 76-nucleotide transfer RNA is filed under the name Candidatus Vogelbacteria bacterium CG22_combo_CG10-13_8_21_14_all_37_9. RNAcentral describes it as "tRNA-Thr". It matches the Rfam family "tRNA". From Rfam's summary of the family: Transfer RNA (tRNA) molecules are approximately 80 nucleotides in length. Their secondary structure includes four short double-helical elements and three loops (D, anti-codon, and T loops). Further hydrogen bonds mediate the characteristic L-shaped molecular structure. tRNAs have two regions of fundamental functional importance: the anti-codon, which is responsible for specific mRNA codon recognition, and the 3' end, to which the tRNAs corresponding amino acid is attached (by aminoacyl-tRNA synthetases). tRNAs cope with the degeneracy of the genetic code in two manners: having more than one tRNA (with a specific anti-codon) for a particular amino acid; and 'wobble' base-pairing, i.e. permitting non-standard base-pairing at the 3rd anti-codon position. The record is from RNAcentral. Lineage: Bacteria; Candidatus Vogeliibacteriota.